UCCGUAGGGUGCGAGCGUUAAUCGGAAUUACUGGGCGUAAAGCGUGCGCAGGCGGUUCGCUGUGUCCGAUGUGAAAGCCCCGGGCUUAACCUGGGAAUGGCAUUGGAAACUGGCGGGCUUGAGUGCGGCAGAGGGGGGUGGAAUUCCGCGUGUAGCAGUGAAAUGCGUAGAGAUGCGGAGGAACACCGAUGGCGAAGGCAGCCCCCUGGGUCGACACUGACGCUCAGGCACGAAAGCGUGGGGAGCAAACAGG
RNAcentral lists this ribosomal RNA (253 nucleotides) under uncultured bacterium. RNAcentral's name for it is "partial 16S ribosomal RNA". It matches the Rfam family "Bacterial small subunit ribosomal RNA", at positions 524 to 776 of the family's 1533-position model. The record is from RNAcentral.